CUGUGGAGUGUACAAAAACUUGUGAGUAGUGUGUUGCCUGCAACCACCAAAACAUACACAACGAAGCAGUAA
RNAcentral lists this small RNA (72 nucleotides) under chicken gut metagenome. RNAcentral describes it as "RAGATH-18 RNA". It matches the Rfam family "RAGATH-18 RNA". From Rfam's summary of the family: Actinobacteria, Firmicutes, Fusobacteria, Thermotogae (1 example). Nearby to self-cleaving ribozyme genes The record is from RNAcentral.